RNAcentral lists this ribosomal RNA (502 nucleotides) under uncultured bacterium. Its description in RNAcentral is "bacterial SSU rRNA". It matches the Rfam family "Bacterial small subunit ribosomal RNA", at positions 8 to 507 of the family's 1533-position model. The record is from RNAcentral.
AGAGUUUGAUCCUGGCUCAGGACGAACGCUGGCGGCGNUGCCUAAUACAUGCAAGACGAGCGAAGGCGUCCGAAAUGAGGCUUCGGCGGAUUUUCGGAUGCACUGAGCGGCGGACGGGUGAGUAACACGUGGGUAACCUGCCCUAUCGCCCGGGAUAACCCUCGGAAACGGGGGCUAAUACCGGAUGCGGUCACGAGGUCGCAUGACGUUGUGACGAAAGGGAUUACUGCGAUAGGAUGGGCCCGCGUCCCAUUAGCUAGUUGGUGGGGUAACGGCCUACCAAGGCGACGAUGGGUAGCCGGCCUGAGAGGGUGGACGGCCACACUGGGACUGAGACACGGCCCAGACUCCUACGGGAGGCAGCAGUAGGGAAUAUUCGGCAAUGGGCGAAAAGCCUGACCGAGCGACGCCGCGUGAGGGAAGAAGGUCUUCGGAUCGUAAACCUCUGUCCUUGGGGACGAAGGUGACGGUACCCAAGGAGGAAGCCCCGGCUAACUACGUG